RNAcentral lists this ribosomal RNA (478 nucleotides) under uncultured bacterium. Its description in RNAcentral is "partial 16S ribosomal RNA". It matches the Rfam family "Bacterial small subunit ribosomal RNA", at positions 28 to 523 of the family's 1533-position model. The record is from RNAcentral.
GACGAACGCUGGCGGCGUGCUUAACACAUGCAAGUCGAACGGUAAGGCCCUUCGGGGUACACGAGUGGCGAACGGGUGAGUAACACGUGGGUGAUCUGCCCUGCACUUCGGGAUAAGCCUGGGAAACUGGGUCUAAUACCGGAUAGGACUCCUGGCUUCAUGGUUGGGGGUGGAAAGCUUUUGCGGUGUGGGAUGGGCCCGCGGCCUAUCAGCUGGUUGGUGGGGUAAUGGCCUACCAAGGCGACGACGGGUAGCCGGCCUGGGAGGGGGACCGGCCACACUGGGACUGAGACACGGCCCAGACUCCUACGGGAGGCAGCAGUGGGGAAUAUUGCACAAUGGGCGCAAGCCUGAUGCAGCAACGCCGCGUGAGGGAUGACGGCCUUCGGGUUGUAAACCUCUUUUAGUAGGGAAGAAGCGAAAGUGACGGUACCUGCAGAAGAAGCACCGGCUAACUACGUGCCAGCCGCCGCGGUAA